Molecule: ribosomal RNA, 253 nt
Filed under: uncultured bacterium
Lineage: Bacteria
Description: partial 16S ribosomal RNA
Rfam family: Bacterial small subunit ribosomal RNA
Source: RNAcentral
UACGUAGGGGGCUAGCGUUGUCCGGAAUCAUUGGGCGUAAAGAGCGUGUAGGCGGCCCGGUAAGUCCGCUGUAAAAGUCAAAGGCUCAACCUUUGAAUGUCAGUGGAUACUGCCGGGCUAGAGUCCGGAAGAGGCGAGUGGAACUCCUGGUGUAGCGGUGGAAUGCGCAGAUAUCGGGAGGAACACCAGUGGCGAAGGCGGUUGCCUGGAGCUUUGCUGACGCUGAGGCGCGAAAGCGUGGGGAGCGAUCCGG